Long non-coding RNA from Carassius gibelio (silver crucian carp), 1112 nucleotides. RefSeq lists it as uncharacterized. The record is from RefSeq and is a predicted model, not a curated record. The transcript has 4 exons. Lineage: Eukaryota; Metazoa; Chordata; Actinopteri; Cypriniformes; Cyprinidae.
ACACUGUAAAAUUUUUCCAGGAUUUCACAAGAUAUAACUGUAAUAUUUCACAGUUAAUUACAUUAUUACCACUUCACAGGCUUUAACUGUGAUAAUUCACAAUAUAAUACCGUAUUUAGACUUUUACUGUGAAAAUAAUGCAGGCGCGGGGCUUUUACAAGAAACUACUGUGAAUGCCGUCUUUUUUGAGUGGCAACUGCGGCAGCGUCAUCAGAGCUCUCUGAUCUACGUGGUCUCAUUCGGUGGAUUCAGACAGCGCAUUUUCUACAUUGACCGACGAUAAAUAAAGUUAUAAGGUGCUUCUUGGGCAUCAACCCAGAGACGGGCACAAAAUCUAAGAGGCAGAGAGGUCACAUGAACCAGCAAGUCUGCACUCUUAUCAGGAAGCUCAUUGACUUCGAAUGGAUGUCAAUCUAAUUGGAUAGAACCCACACUAUGCAGGUGCCAGCUGCGAGGGAAGGAGCGAGACACCUGCGACCCUCUCUAUUCCCACCUUUUUGUAUUUUUUUACAUCUCUCUCCCUCACUCUCUCUUCUCUGUCUCCUUCUUUCUCUUUUGACACACAUUCCUGUUACCCAGUGUCAAUCCCUGUUGCCCAGUGUUUUAUUCAUGUAAUUAAAUUGUAUUUUACUUCUAAAAAAUAAAAGUUAUGUCACUGUUUUUAUCAGUUUUGUUUGGUCCAUCAUUUAUGCUAAAUCACAGUAAUAGACAUUCACAGUUAUGUACAGUAAUUCUACAGCUGCUUACUGCUAAAUUACAGUAAUAGAUAGACUAAUUUCACAGUUAAAUACAUUAAUUCUACAUCUGCUUGCUGCUAAAUUACAAUAAUAGACACUAAUUUCACAGUUAAAUACAUGAAUUCUACAGCUGCUUACUGUUAAAUUACAGUAAUACAUAGACACCAACUGUAAUUUCACAGUUAAAUACAUUAAUUCUACAGCAGCUUACCGCUAAAUCACAGUAAUGCAAUGUCAGAAUUACUGUGAAGUCACAGUAUACAGCUGUCAUUUCACAAUAAUUUACUGUAAAAAUGUUACAGUAACUUACUGUGAAAGUCAUGCAAUUAUUAACCUGCAAUUUAUUGUAAAUUUACAGUCAAAUAAUUAACAGUG